ACAUGCAGUCGACGGUAACAGGCCGCAAGGUGCUGACGAGUGGCGAACGGGUGAGUAAUGCAUCGGAACGUGCCCAGUCGUGGGGGAUAACUGCUCGAAAGAGCAGCUAAUACCGCAUACGACCUGAGGGUGAAAGCGGGGGACCGAAAGGCCUCGCGCGAUUGGAGCGGCCGAUGUCAGAUUAGGUAGUUGGUGGGGUAAAGGCCUACCAAGCCGACGAUCUGUAGUUGGUCUGAGAGGACGACCAGCCACACUGGGACUGGGACACGGCCCAGACUCCUACGGGAGGCAGCAGUGGGGAAUUUUGGACAAUGGGGGCAACCCUGAUCCAGCAAUGCCGCGUGCAGGAAGAAGGCCUUCGGGUUGUAAACUGCUUUUGUCAGGGAAGAAAUCCUGUGGGUUAAUACCUCGUGGGGAUGACGGUACCUGAAGAAUAAGCACCGGCUAACUACGUGCCAGCAGCCGCGGUAAUACGUAGGGUGCGAGCGUUAAUCGGAAUUACUGGGCGUAAAGCGUGCGCAGGCGGUUUUGUAAGACAGAGGUGAAAUCCCCGGGCUCAACCUGGGAACUGCCUUUGUGACUGCAAGGCUGGAGUACGGCAGAGGGGGAUGGAAUUCCGCGUGUAGCAGUGAAAUGCGUAGAUAUGCGGAGGAACACCGAUGGCGAAUGCAAUCCCCUGGGCCUGUACUGACGCUCAUGCACGAAAGCGUGGGGAGCAAACA
RNAcentral lists this ribosomal RNA (722 nucleotides) under uncultured bacterium. RNAcentral describes it as "bacterial SSU rRNA". It matches the Rfam family "Bacterial small subunit ribosomal RNA", at positions 53 to 774 of the family's 1533-position model. The record is from RNAcentral.